Molecule: ribosomal RNA, 410 nt
Filed under: uncultured eukaryote
Lineage: Eukaryota
Description: SSU rRNA
Rfam family: Eukaryotic small subunit ribosomal RNA
Source: RNAcentral
AUCCUGCCAGUAGUCAUACGCUCGUCUCAAAGAUUAAGCCAUGCAUGUGUAAGUAUAAGAAUACUUUUAUCGAAACUGCGGACGGCUCAUUAUAUCAGUUAUAGUUUAUUUGAUAAUCCCUCACUACUUGGAUAACCGUAGUAAUUCUAGAGCUAAUAUAUGCAUCAAAGCGGAACUCUCGGGAACCGCCGUGUUUAUUAGUAUUAACCUUCACUCUUCGGAGUUGAUUUGGUGAGUUCAUAAUAACCUUUCGAAUUGCAUGACCACGUGUCGGCAAGAUCAUUCAACUUUCUGCCCUAUCAGCUUGGGAUGGUAGUGUAUUGGACUAACCAUGGCUUAACGGGUAUACGAAUUGUUAGGCAAGAUUUCGGAGAGGGAGCCUGAGAGACGGCUACCACAUCCAAGGAAGG